RNAcentral lists this ribosomal RNA (253 nucleotides) under uncultured bacterium. Its description in RNAcentral is "partial 16S ribosomal RNA". It matches the Rfam family "Bacterial small subunit ribosomal RNA", at positions 524 to 776 of the family's 1533-position model. The record is from RNAcentral.
UACGGAGGGAGCUAGCGUUGUUCGGAAAUACUGGGCGUAAAGCGCACGUAGGCGGCGCAGCAAGUCAGGGGUGAAAUCCCGGGGCUCAACCCCGGAACUGCCCUUGAAACUGCAGUGCUAGAAUUCUGGAGAGGCGAGUGGAAUUCCGAGUGUAGAGGUGAAAUUCGUAGAUAUUCGGAAGAACACCAGUGGCGAAGGCAACUCGCUGGACAGACAUUGACGCUGAGGUGCGAAAGCGUGGGGAGCAAACAGG